Molecule: ribosomal RNA, 542 nt
Filed under: Botrytis cinerea
Lineage: Eukaryota; Fungi; Ascomycota; Leotiomycetes; Helotiales; Sclerotiniaceae
Description: eukaryotic LSU rRNA
Rfam family: 5.8S ribosomal RNA (bases 182-335)
Source: RNAcentral
UCCUUCCGUAGGUGAACCUGCGGAAGGAUCAUUACAGAGGUCAUGCCCGAAAGGGUAGACCUCCCACCCUUGUGUAUUAUUACUUUGUUGCUUUGGCGAGCUGCCUUCGGGCCUUGUAUGCUCGCCAGAGAAUACCAAAACUCUUUUUAUUAAUGUCGUCUGAGUACUAUAUAAUAGUUAAAACUUUCAACAACGGAUCUCUUGGUUCUGGCAUCGAUGAAGAACGCAGCGAAAUGCGAUAAGUAAUGUGAAUUGCAGAAUUCAGUGAAUCAUCGAAUCUUUGAACGCACAUUGCGCCCCUUGGUAUUCCGGGGGGCAUGCCUGUUCGAGCGUCAUUUCAACCCUCAAGCUUAGCUUGGUAUUGAGUCUAUGUCAGUAAUGGCAGGCUCUAAAAUCAGUGGCGGCGCCGCUGGGUCCUGAACGUAGUAAUAUCUCUCGUUACAGGUUCUCGGUGUGCUUCUGCCAAAACCCAAAUUUUUCUAUGGUUGACCUCGGAUCAGGUAGGGAUACCCAGUUCCAUGAACUUAAGCAUAUCAAUAAGC